Molecule: ribosomal RNA, 301 nt
Filed under: uncultured bacterium
Lineage: Bacteria
Description: partial 16S ribosomal RNA
Rfam family: Bacterial small subunit ribosomal RNA
Source: RNAcentral
CAGUAGCCGCGGGAAUACAGAGGGUGCGAGCGUUAAUCGGAUUUACUGGGCGUAAAGCGUGCGUAGGCGGCUUUUUAAGUCGGAUGUGAAAUCCCUGAGCUUAACUUAGGAAUUGCAUUCGAUACUGGGAAGCUAGAGUAUGGGAGAGGAUGGUAGAAUUCCAGGUGUAGCGGUUAAAUGCGUAGAGAUCUGGAGGAAUACCGAUGGCGAAGGCAGCCAUCUGGCCUAAUACUGACGCUGAGGUACGAAAGCAUGGGGAGCAAACAGGAUUAGAUACCCCCGUAGUCCCUGUCUCUUAUAC